GCGCACUGUACAGCGGCAUCAGCCGCUUGUAGGACAUGUCCAGCAGCUGGUCCAGGUCCACGCCACGGAAGUGCAACUGGACAGCACUGACCCAGAGACAGGGGUUAAAAUGGACCUUCCUUCCUAUCAAGCCAUGGACUAAUGAUUAAGGAGUGGGACCAUUUAUCAGACCUGUCUAGUCUAUGAAUUCCACCCCAAGGGCCACAGUUGUGCACGGGCAUUGAGCCAAUCCCUGGACUUCUGCUGGCACGUGGGAGGAAGGACUCUCUCUUUCCAUGAGGAUUGCUGAGAGGAAGCCUAGGGCUGCCAGCAAUCAUCCUGCCACCGCACGGGAGGUGCACACCUGAAUGAAGGUAACAGCCGCAGAGAGCAAAGCCCACAUGGAGGAGCCAGGACAGGAUGGGGACAACAAGGCUUGAGCCCCUAGAUCCGGGCAUGCCUGGCCUUUUAGAUAACCAAUUUCUGCGAAGAAGUGCUUCCUCUUUUGCACUGUUAAGUCAGCUGAAGAACCACUUGUAGAAGAAAAUUGGAUAAAUGUUAGCUGCCGUUCAUUUCUUUACUGGUUUUCAAAAUAAAGAUUGGUCCGAAGGUGAUCAAUGAGGAUCUCCCACACCCUUUUUCUUUUUUAGUAUCAUCAAUGGCUUUUCUGCUUCAUCAUUUUAGUCUCAGCAUGGGUUGUAACAUAUAUUAUAUGUUUCCAAAUGUUGAUGAUUUUUGUGUGUUUUUUUGGGGAGUGGUGGAGGGAUAUUUAAUUUAUCCCAUCUUUGGCCAGUGGGAGCCGCUUCUCUUCAGACUUGCUACCAAGGC
RNAcentral lists this long non-coding RNA (807 nucleotides) under Homo sapiens (human). RNAcentral describes it as "HSALNT0311890". Lineage: Eukaryota; Metazoa; Chordata; Mammalia; Primates; Hominidae. The record is from RNAcentral.